UACACGGUGGCCUGCAUGGCUGUCGGUCAGCUCGUGUCGUGAGAUGUUGGGUUAAGUCCCGUAACGAGCGCAACCCUUGUCCCUUAGUUACCAGCACGUUAUGGUGGGCACUCGUAAGGAGACUUGCCGGUGACAAACCGGAGGAAGGUGGGGAUGACGUCAAGUCAUCAUGGCCCUUACGGCCUGGGCUACACACGUGCUACAAUGGUCGGUACAAAGGGUUGCCAAGCCGCGAGGUGGAGCUAAUCCCAAUAAAACCGAUCGUAGUCCGGAUCGCAGUCUGCAACUCGACUGCGUGAAGUCGGAAUCGCUAGUAAUCGUGAAUCAGAAUGUCACGGUGAAUACGUUCCCGGGCCUU
RNAcentral lists this ribosomal RNA (358 nucleotides) under uncultured Pseudomonas sp. Its description in RNAcentral is "bacterial SSU rRNA". It matches the Rfam family "Bacterial small subunit ribosomal RNA", at positions 1029 to 1382 of the family's 1533-position model. The record is from RNAcentral. Lineage: Bacteria; Pseudomonadati; Pseudomonadota; Gammaproteobacteria; Pseudomonadales; Pseudomonadaceae.